AAGUUAUUUAAUUCUGGUAAUGAAAGAGUGAAAAGUAUUAUUACAUAAAGUUGUUAGUAUCCGUUUAGGUGGGGGUUUUUAAACCUGCUUGUUAGUAAUUAGAUCUUAGGUGUUUGAGGUAACUCAGAUUGGGAUACUUUUUGUAGGUGGAGAAUACUCAGUGCCAGCAUCCGCGGUUAUUCUGUUUAGCCUGUCUCUUUGUUUUAGUUUAAAUGUUUCAUUUAAUAAUUUGAUGAAUUUAGGUGGAAUUUUUUCUUUUUAGAAAUUAUUUAUUGAUUGUAAGGAGAGUUAUAGGUAGAAAAGGAUUAGAGACCCUUGUAUAGAAUUGUGGAAUUUGUUGCUUUAGUUGAAACUAAAAGAAUUUGGCAGCUGAUGAAGUUCGUCCGGGGGAGUGUGUUUGGUAAAAGAUAGUCCGCUUAGUAGUUUACCUCUUUAUAUGGUUAGUGUAUAUCCGGUUAAAGAUCCGUAAUUAGUGUUACGGGUGUAGGUAGUUGGAUACUUAAUCCAGGUCUUUGUGCUGCUGAUGAAGGGGGUAGUUAAUGCGCUACGUUAUUAAAAGAUUUUAAUGUAAAUUUUGAGAUGUAUUUAGGACUCGGUAGUAGGUAGGGUUUAGUAUGCCUUUUCGAAGAGGAUUUAGUUGGGGUACACACCGCCCGUCACUCAGGGCGUCAGCUCUGAUAAGUCGUAACAUGGUAACGUUGGGGGAACCGGACGUUAGUAAAUUCAUUGUAUAUUAAGUGAGUUU
This 745-nucleotide non-coding RNA is filed under the name Ogmocotyle sp. JM-2015. Its description in RNAcentral is "12S ribosomal RNA". The stretch from base 328 to 717 matches the Rfam family "Microsporidia small subunit ribosomal RNA", at positions 751 to 1303 of the family's 1311-position model. The record is from RNAcentral. Lineage: Eukaryota; Metazoa; Platyhelminthes; Trematoda; Plagiorchiida; Notocotylidae.